UGAUGUCAAGUCAGCAUGGCCUUUAUAUCCUGGGCUACACACACGCUACAAUGGCCAACACAAUAGGUUGCUAAGCCGCGAGGUGGCGCCAAUCCAUAAAGUUGGUCUCAGUUCAGAUUGUAGGCUGCAACCCGCCUGCAUGAAGAUGGAGUUGCUAGUAACCGCAGGUCAGCUAUACUGCGGUGAAUACGUUCCCGGGGCUU
RNAcentral lists this ribosomal RNA (203 nucleotides) under uncultured Leptolinea sp. RNAcentral describes it as "partial 16S ribosomal RNA". It matches the Rfam family "Bacterial small subunit ribosomal RNA", at positions 1180 to 1382 of the family's 1533-position model. The record is from RNAcentral. Lineage: Bacteria; Bacillati; Chloroflexota; Anaerolineae; Anaerolineales; Anaerolineaceae.